UGCAUGACUUAAUCUUGUAGACACUUUUUACAUUGUUGUAUUGGUACUUUGACUUCACAAGGAGCCACCCCUGGUUGUACCUAAAUAUUUGUCACCACCUCUGAAAACAAAUCAUUAAAUAGCCCAGUAGAAAGAUUAAUUUUUAAUUAGUGACCAUUAUAAGCUUCGCAAAGGCCAUGCUAAGGUUAUUUACCACAUGUCGUUAUUUAUUGCUCACGUGAUGCAUGUGUGAGUCUCGCAAUACCAAAAUACAGACUGUAAUGCUCUCAGGAAUAGGCCACCAACAGAUUAAUAAAUCACCAACUAUCAUGGAAAUGGUGAUAACAAACAAAAAGAAACAGGGAUGGAUAAACAGUCAUAAGAAACCAGACAAUCCUAUAAUAUGUCUGGUCGA
Long non-coding RNA from Etheostoma spectabile (orangethroat darter), 394 nucleotides. RefSeq lists it as uncharacterized. Lineage: Eukaryota; Metazoa; Chordata; Actinopteri; Perciformes; Percidae. The transcript has 3 exons. The record is from RefSeq and is a predicted model, not a curated record.